GCGAGGGUGGUGGAAUGGGCAUACACACAGGCCUAAGGAGCCUGGCUCUUCGGAGCGUGAGGGUUCAAAUCCCUCCCCUCGCA
RNAcentral lists this transfer RNA (83 nucleotides) under Candidatus Omnitrophota bacterium. RNAcentral describes it as "tRNA-Leu". It matches the Rfam family "tRNA". From Rfam's summary of the family: Transfer RNA (tRNA) molecules are approximately 80 nucleotides in length. Their secondary structure includes four short double-helical elements and three loops (D, anti-codon, and T loops). Further hydrogen bonds mediate the characteristic L-shaped molecular structure. tRNAs have two regions of fundamental functional importance: the anti-codon, which is responsible for specific mRNA codon recognition, and the 3' end, to which the tRNAs corresponding amino acid is attached (by aminoacyl-tRNA synthetases). tRNAs cope with the degeneracy of the genetic code in two manners: having more than one tRNA (with a specific anti-codon) for a particular amino acid; and 'wobble' base-pairing, i.e. permitting non-standard base-pairing at the 3rd anti-codon position. Lineage: Bacteria; Pseudomonadati; Candidatus Omnitrophota. The record is from RNAcentral.